CCUACGGGUGGCUGCAGUGAGGAAUAUUGGUCAAUGGCCGGAAGGCUGAACCAGCCAUGCCGCGUGAAGGUCAGUGCCCUAUGGGCGUUAAACUUCUUUUGUGCGGGAGCAAUAUUGGUCACGUUUGGCCAGACGAGAGUACCGUCUGAAUAAGCAUCGGCUCACUCCGUGCCAGCAGCCGCGGUAAUACGGGGGGUGCAAGCGUUAUCCGGAUUUAUUGGGUUUAAAGGGUGCUUAGGCUGUGAGGUAAGUCAGCGGUGAAAUGCUCCCGCUCAACGGGGUGAAGUGCCAUUGAUACUGCAUGGCUGGAAUGCGGAUGCCGUGGGAGGAAUGUGUGGUGUAGCGGUGAAAUGCAUAGAUAUCAGACAGAACACCGAUUGCGAAGGCAUCUCACGAAUCCGCGAUUGACGCUGAUGCACGAAAGCGUGGGUAUCAAACAGGAUUAGAUACCCUGGUAGUC
Molecule: ribosomal RNA, 460 nt
Filed under: uncultured bacterium
Lineage: Bacteria
Description: partial 16S ribosomal RNA
Rfam family: Bacterial small subunit ribosomal RNA
Source: RNAcentral